GAUGAACGCUGGCGGCGUGCCUCAAACAUGCAAGUCGAGCGGGGCUAUGUAAUAUCGCAAGGUAGAACAUAGCCUAGCGGCGAACGGGUGAGUAACACGUGGGUAACCUGCCUGGAAGACAGGGAUAACGAUUCGAAAGGGUCGCUAAUACCUGAUAAUAUCCUUUCAUCGCAUGGUGAUAGGAAGAAAGGGGAAACCCGCUUUCAGAUGGGCCCGCGUCCCAUCAGCUAGUUGGUAAGGUAAAGGCUUACCAAGGCGACGACGGGUAGCCGGUCUGAGAGGAUGUACGGCCACACUGGGACUGAGAUACGGCCCAGACUCCUACGGGAGGCAGCAGUUGGGAAUCUUAGGCAAUGGACGAAAGUCUGACCUAGCGACGCCGCGUGAGGGAAGAAGGCCUUCGGGUUGUAAACCGUCUGUCACUGGGGGAAGAAGUAAGUGACGGUACCCAAGAGGAAGCCCCUGCUAACUACGUGCCAGCAGCCGCGGUAAAGUCACGUCG
Molecule: ribosomal RNA, 502 nt
Filed under: uncultured bacterium
Lineage: Bacteria
Description: bacterial SSU rRNA
Rfam family: Bacterial small subunit ribosomal RNA
Source: RNAcentral